UUCCCCUCCUCGCCCCUUUAGCAAGCCUUUGCCAAGAUGGAGAGAAAUUCCAAAGAUGGCAAGUUAUCUAGCUCCAAGGAUCAUAGUGAUAAGAAAUCUGGAUUCAGGGACCGGUCGCCAGAAAGCUUGAGCAGGAAUUCCACUCAAACCAAAAUGACUGAAACCCUCUCUGGGGAAAAAGAGCCGGUUUACAGGAUGCAGCUGCCUUGAAGGAAGAAAAUGUAAAUUCCAGAAAAGGGAAGACAUUGCUUUCAAGCCAGGUAAAUACUUUCAGAUGAAUUUUAGCGACGAGACAAAAUGAGUUUUAUGCCUCCUAAUUUGUCUCUCUGUCUCCAUUGACAGUUUGCUUUCUCAUGAUGAAGAAAUGUGGCAAGGCUCAUAACUAUGAUAGGGAAAGUUGGGAAAAUGUUUAAAAUGUGCUUUAGAAUCUGAAAACCAGACAGAAGCACUGAUCAUAACCCCCUAAUCACGAAAACAUAAAGCAAAAUAACGCGAAAUUGACGAAAGAAAAGGCUGCAACAGGGGCAUAAACAUACCUCAAAUAAUUUUUAACAAUGUAGCUGUCAAACGUAGCCAAACGCAAUAAGUGCUACAAAAAUAAUUUGAUUUCAGUAAAAAUAACAUCGAAAAUUGGGAAAAAUAACAGCGAAAUUAGGAAAAAAUAAUAACGAAAUUUUCCAAUCUCAACCGAGGCUGCUAAGGAAAAUCUGCUAACGGAAUGGAGGUACUCACCAAGAAUUACUCUGAUUGAACAGAAAAUAUUUAUUCAGUUGUGUGUGAAAUGUUAACAAUGUCAGUCGCAAACUGGCAACGGACGGGUGAUUAUCAGGCUUAAUAAUCAUUAAUCUUUUCAUCGAAAAAUUAGGAUACUGUAACUCACAGAAAAUCUCAGAAAACAAGUUUCUCCACUUCGCAAAUAAGCAGAAACUUGAUUUUGAAAGUGCUUGAUGUCCGUAACUGACUGUAAGUAGUUCCCAGGUAUCUCAGCCAAAAAAGAGCCUUUGUUGCCAAAAACGAAUACACUGACUUGUUUAGUCCCGUCAGUAAUAAAUUCAUGAGGAAACAGUUUUAGUUGCACUCUAGUGUGACCACUUUUUUGCUUUCCUAGCUUUGAUCAUAUGGGCUGCAUUUUGCAAUUUGGAGCGAUAAAUCUAGCUCAUCUGAAAAAACACGUAUGUUGCAUAGGGAAAACUAAUGGCACAUACGUUGUUUUUAAACCGGGCCAGAAAUUUUAUAGUUCCUAAUUGCAAAUGU
Molecule: long non-coding RNA, 1254 nt
Filed under: Bemisia tabaci
Lineage: Eukaryota; Metazoa; Arthropoda; Insecta; Hemiptera; Aleyrodidae
Description: lncRNA ENSSWEETPG007464
Source: RNAcentral